UAUUAGCCCCGAUAAUAGCGGUAUCCUUUUACGCCGGGGUUCGGCGUAAAAUAUUGAAGCGGAUAGCGGGAAAAGCU
RNAcentral lists this small RNA (77 nucleotides) under Flavobacterium anhuiense. Its description in RNAcentral is "Flavo-1 RNA". It matches the Rfam family "Flavo-1 RNA". RNAcentral also lists the same sequence under 1 other name. Lineage: Bacteria; Pseudomonadati; Bacteroidota; Flavobacteriia; Flavobacteriales; Flavobacteriaceae. The record is from RNAcentral.